Molecule: unclassified non-coding RNA, 352 nt
Filed under: soil metagenome
Description: partial contains 5.8S ribosomal RNA, internal transcribed spacer 2, and large subunit ribosomal RNA
Rfam family: 5.8S ribosomal RNA (bases 1-120)
Source: RNAcentral
GAUGAAGAACGUAGCGAAAUGCGAUAAGUAAUGUGAAUUGCAGAAUUCAGUGAAUCAUCGAAUCUUUGAACGCACAUUGCGCCCCCCAGUAUUCUGGCGGGCAUGCCUGUUCGAGCGUCAUUACAACCCUCAGGCCCCCGGGCCUGGCGUUGGGGAUCGGCGGAGCCCCCCGUGGGCACACGCCGUCCCCCAAAUACAGUGGCGGUCCCGCCGCAGCUUCCAUCGCGUAGUAGCUAACACCUCGCGACUGGAGAGCGGCGCGGCCACGCCGUAAAACACCCAACUCUUCUGAAGUUGACCUCGAAUCAGGUAGGAAUACCCGCUGAACUUAAGCAUAUCAAUAAGCGGAGGA